Molecule: long non-coding RNA, 341 nt
Filed under: Lupinus angustifolius (narrow-leaved blue lupine)
Lineage: Eukaryota; Viridiplantae; Streptophyta; Magnoliopsida; Fabales; Fabaceae
Description: long non-coding RNA (LANG_LNC002439)
Source: RNAcentral
UGACAAACCCUUUUUCUUUCAAGGAUAGAUCUAGGAAUUUUGAUUUAUCACCCGUCAUAUGUCUCGAGCAUCCACUAUCAAGAUACGAAUGAUGUCCCUGUGCUCGUAGACAUACCUACAAAAGUAGAUCACUUGCCUUUUUCAGGUACCCAAGUUAUAUUGGGUCCUUUUCUGUUAGUAACCAGGGAGUCAUCCCCCUUUUUCAUCCAGACAUACACGCCACUAGGUAUACCAUAUUUUCUUAUGUAAAAAGAGUAGGAAGUGUAGCCAUGUGUGCCACAAUAAAAACAUGUAGGAACCUUCUUAUUAAAAUAUUUCUUAUUAGGCCGAUUAAUAGGGGG